Molecule: long non-coding RNA, 7516 nt
Filed under: Olea europaea (common olive)
Lineage: Eukaryota; Viridiplantae; Streptophyta; Magnoliopsida; Lamiales; Oleaceae
Description: long non-coding RNA (OEUR_LNC010229)
Source: RNAcentral
UUCCAAAAUGAAACGAGCACCCUAGUAAUCAUAUUCAGUUCCCCAAUUAGUAGUUAAUCUCGAAGUUCACAGUUGAAUCUAACUCAUAUACGAUUUAGGUAAAUGUACAGAAGGUGUUAAAAAAUAUAAUAAAAAGAAAAAGUUGCAGAAAAGAGAAAAAAAUCUUGAAGAAAAAUGAAGAUGAAUGAUCCCCAGAAAUGAUCUAUAAAAAAUGUAUAUAUUUUGAUUAUUACAAUCCAAGAACCGAGAAUACUUAGCAGUAAAGAAAACGGUCUUAGAUAUACUACAAACAAAGAAAUAUUAAUAUAAACAAGGUCGUAACUAAGCAGCAAUGUAACCAACCAUUUUGACUAUAAAAGUCAUAUAUACCUUCCUCAGCUGUACAAAACCCAGAAUGAGACUACAAGUGUAAUAAAAAUCGAUAAAAUCGUAAAAUACUUAACAAAAGCAGGUAAGAAAGAUAUCUUAAAGAUAUCAAAUACUCCAUCGUCCAAGAAAGUAUAGGAGAUUAUAGCCAUAAAAAAAUUGCAUUGGAAUUUCUGCAGCAACUAGAUUUGGGCAACAGGAAAGAGCGAACAGUAUUUACAAAAUUCGGAUGGUAUAAGUAGUAACUAGUUAUGGCAAAAAAAUAGUAACAAUUCCAUUUGUUUGGUCUCAAAUCAGUCGUAGGACGGUGGCUUUUCAAUCACUUGACAAUUGGCCGAUGCAUCGUUUUCCUCAAAAUUAAAAACUGCUCCUCUGCUAAUGUCAAAUACUCUAAAAAAACAAUAUGCAAUGGAAAUAAUAAUUGGAAUGCCGGAUAACAACAGAGGGAGUUGCCAUAUUGGAAUUGCAUUCGGGUGCCAGUCCUGUUUCCUUUCGUUUUGGUCGGGGUAUGUAUGCACUGGUGUCAAACAACGCCGGGUCACAUUCCAAUCUCAAAAGUCCUGUUGAAAAAUGGGUUUUCCCAGGGAAAUGAAUGAAAUUUAUUAUGUUACACGGCGAAUGUGCUUCUGUUUGAAAGCAUGAGACCAAUGAAUAAGGCUGAACAAACAGGGAAAAUAAAAAGGGAAAAAACAGACUGAUGUGCAACCAAUGAUUGAGUAUUUUUAUGUUGUUUUUUCCCCAAUUUCCAAUGAGAAUUUGUCAAGUGUUGUAUGGAAAUGAAAUUUGUCACUAACUCCGGCCAUGUAGCAUGGUUGUGAGACCAAUACAUUUGAAAUAUACGAUAAUCAUUUCAUGUUCUUCAGAAGCGAAUUUUAAACAAAUAGCAAAAUUUAGUUGAGAGAAUAGUUUUCCAUUUGAAGUUCAAUAACCAUACAAUUGUUGGCAUUAUAGGAAACAGCCAUGAUAAGAAGUUCAAAUCCUUGUCCGAGGCGGAAAUUUCAGAAUUGGUUAAACAUGGGGUGUUCUAUCUGUCUUAUCAGAUUGCUCAAUUGACCGGCAUGCGACACUGGCAGCUGGGCAGGUCCUUUAGUUAUGUCUUUGGCAAAUGCAACUGGAAGGGCUUCCACUGCUUAAAUACUGGUAAUAAAAGCUUCAUUUCCAUUCUGUACAAUUGAGUUUGUACCCUUGGAGACUCUAUCAUUUUUCACCAUCAACGACAGGAGCUGGUCAAGAUGGUGACAUAUGAGACUCACAUGACAAAUUCUUAAAAGAUGGGCAUCAGGGCAUGUUUUUAAGCCUUGAUCCUUGUAUGAGAUUGUUUCUUUCAUUUGAACAGCCUUAUCUAGUGUCAAAAGAUUUUUUGUGCUACCCACCACUUCGAGGAAGAGAAAGCUCCUAUGUACCAUACUAUUUUUGUACCAGUGGAAGAGAGGUCUAUACGUUGCUAGAGUCCAGAGUGAAGUCGGUAACUCGGGCUUGAUAGGAUAGGAGUGUGCAUGUCGGCCCCUGCGGAGCCAUACUUUGAAGAUUGGCAAUCUGAAUUUCAAUGGAUGUAUAGAUUAUACUAACCAGUCAGACUUUGCGGAACUGGCUAAAUAGCAUAAAUGGCUUCAGUUGGGAAAUUGGACAAAGGUUAAAGGUACUUGCAAUUCAAUCACCAAUAAUCACCACAGGAGCACUUCCCGUCCUCAAACCGAUGAAAUCGAUUGUUAUCUCUGACUAUAAUUAUCCGUCCAGUGCACUUGGACAUAAACUUUAUUGCAGUGUGGCAAUCACCACAGAUGCGCAAGUUCUUCAUAACUCUAAUUGGACGUUCCGGUGGAAAGGUAAUAAGUGCAAAUGCAAUGGCUAAUCUCUCACUAUGAUAUCGAAUACUCUGGAUCUUCUCAUCAGCGCCAACUUCUUGCAGCACGUAACUCGUGUCUGCAACAUAACCAACUCGCAUCAUAUCCUCCCCCAGUUCCUCCAGUUUCCUAUAAAUCUCUUCAGAUUUCGCAUUGGCCCUAUCCCCUGCAACAAAUGUGUAAAUCCUAUUACCUUCCUCUACCCAGCUCAAACCAGUUUCCUUUUUCAUUCCACAGUCCCUCAGCAUUUUCCUUGCCGUUGCAGCCUCUUUAUAUCUACCAGCAGCUGAAUAAGCAUUGGAUAAUAGCACGUGUAGGCCAGGGCUAAUAGGGCCUAACUCAAAGACUCUAUCAGCUACGUAACCUGCCAACUCAGUGUUUCCAUGAAUUCGGCACCCAGUAAGUAAAGCUCCCCACACAGAUUCUGUUGGUUGCAUUGGCAUUUCUUUAGUAAUUUUAACAGCUUCGUGCAAUUUUCCAGCUCGGCCAAGCAAGUCAACCAUUGAAGCAUAAUGCUGAUCCCCUGGCUCUAUACCUUGAUCCUUCAUCAACUUGAAGUAAUACUUCCCCUCCUCAACCAGCCCUGCGUGGCUACAAGCAUAGAGCAGACACAAAAAUGUAAUGAAAUUCGGCUUCGUUCCUACUCUUUCCAUUUUCCCAAACAACGCAAACACGUUCUUUGUAUGUGAAUGUUGAGCACAUGCGAUCAACAUUGCAUUCCACAUUCCUAAAUUCUUAUUCGAAACCUCAUCAAAAACAAGAUAUGCUCCCUCAAUGACACCACACUUUGAGUACAUGGAAAUUAAAGAACUUCCCACAAAACCUGACAAGUCAUAGCUCAUUUUCAAGCACAAACCAUGCAUCUGCUUCCCUAGUUCAAGCAAGGUCGAAUUCCCACAAACUCGAAUCACACUCGAAAAAGUAAAAUCGUUCACACCCAAAUCCUCAAUCAAAGCGUCCUUAAAAAGCCUCAAAGCCUCCUCGUCUUCACCCAUUUGCGCAUACCCAUAUAUCAUCCCACUCCAAGACACCACAUUUUUCUCCGGAAUUUCAUCAAACAUCUUCCUAGAAUCCACUAAACUACCACAUUUUGCAUACAUAUCCACUACAGAACUCCCAACAAACACAUUAAAGUCAUACCCAACUUUCACCGUAAGACAAUGAACCGACUGCCCUGCACGAUAAUCAUUCAUCAUCGCGCACGAUUUAGUCACACUGGGGAAAAUGUGGUCAUCAGGAUACAAUCCACCAAUACGAAGCAUUAAGCAAAGAUAUUGAAAAGCUCGCAAAGGGAGCUCAUUUUGCGAAAAACAAGAGAUUAAAGAACUCCAAGUCGUAGCAGACUUGAAGGGAGUCUCAUCAAACAAUUUUUCCGAGUGGUGCGGGAACUGUAAUUUCGCGUAAAAGUUGAUCAAAUGGUGGGAUAUCAGUGGGAUGAUCUGAAGUCCAGAUUUAAUGACAUGGGCAUGAAUAGAUUGACCUUUUAAAAGGGAUUUUGCCCUAGUGAAGUCAAGCAAAUGGUUGCAUAUGGUUCGGUAGUUGUGCUCGAAGCUUUGUUGGUUGAGUGAGUUUUGGAGGAAGUGGGUGAAGAUGGGAUGUCUUGGGGGUGGAGGUGGUUGCAGGGGUUCUUUGAGGAAAGGGUGAAGCAUUUAGUGAAUAUCUUAAAGAGACGUGUGUUCUGGAUGCAUGACGGCGGCGGGCGGUUUCGGAGUAGGAGUAUCAGUUCUCUGCCCCAGGAUGCGGUGGUGGCCGAAAAUUGGGUUUUCAAUUAGAACGUAGACAAGAAUUGGCGGACAAAAAUUUGGGUUGAGAAUCGGUUAUUCUUAUUGUGAACCGGCCGGUUCAUCCCCCAUCCCACCUCACAAUUUUAUAUAUAUAUAUUUUUUUAAAUAUAAAUGAAGUCGAUUCCAAAUUUUUUGACCGAAUCAGCCAUUUUAAUAGAUUUUGACAAUCUUGGACAGACAUUUCCCAAAGUUUGUUGCACAAGAGCAAACAAAGUUUUCGAGGUUUCUAAAUUAUUACAAAUUUACAUACGUCAAUGUUUUUCUUAACAUUUCUCUCGAAUUUUUAUUUGCAUCAUUUUCAACAAUUUUCAUUCAAAGUAGACACAGCUUGUCUUCAAGUAUAAGUGCUAGUGGGGAAUGAUUUUUCAAAAAAUAAUUCUUUACAGGAAAAAUGAUUCUUAACCUAUCAUCCAGUGUACAAAUUGUUGCAGAAGUUUCUUAUAUGCUCCCAAGUUUUAUGAACCGCAUGUUUGGCGCUCGAGUUUCCAUGCCUCAAGGCAGAUUUCUCUUUACUUUUAAAUCGAAGAGUCCUAAUAAUUGGUUUACAUGUAUGCUUAUAGGUAGAUAGUUAGACAAUACUUGCACAUAAUUAUAUCAUUAGUGCACUCUUCAAUGAUAUAAAUAAUAUAUCUAGCUGUUGACGAUCUUGUCGCAUCGUAUUCCAAGGUGCACAAUCAUGGUGUGUUUGGGAAGUAGUGCUAGAUGGGAUUGAACGAUACAAUUGACGAAAAUACUGACCAUUUCAACUUAUCAAACAUGCUACAAAAGCAUGAAUAGAAUAACAUAAUGCAAAGAUAUACAAAAUCCCAAAUCCCUCACCAUUCUUGAAAAACCGACCAAGUUGCAGGUCUUUUACUGUUGGAGGCAAGAGACUAACUUGUUCACUUAAUCUCCACAUGAGCAUCAAGGCAAUUAAAUACCUAUAAUACCGUACGGAAAAUGAGAAGAAAGUCUUAACUCUUUAAGUGGACCAAACAAUAACUCCAUAAAUGUAAUUUCUAUAGAUAAUUCAAGUUGAAAAAUGAAAAAUGCUUUAUGAAGUCAUAAAACUUACUGGGAAAUGACAUGGGCAAUGGCUGCACCGCUAACACCCAUACCGAACAGGAAGAUGAAUAUAGGGUCCAAUACUAUAUUCGCCGCAUCUCCAACCACUACAUUGCAAUGUAAAAGUUCAACAAAUUAUCCUCUAUUUGAAUGUCUAUUCAGAUUGGGUUGCACUAGCAGUUUUCGUAGUUCUAUAUGGACGACUUUCAAGCUUGCAGUCGAUCAUUUUCUAGAUGAAUGACAAAUUUUUAAUAUGUGUACUGAUGUGAUAUGUCAAGUUGAUAACAUGCUGAUCAUAUGUACGUUUCUAAUGAGAAAUUAACUUGAAUAAAAGCGAAAUAUUUGCUUACUAGUUGCAUACAGAGGAGUUUUUGUAUCCUUAAAACCCCGAAAGACCCCUUGCAAUGACAAAGAAAGAAGAACGGCUGGAGCACCGACUGACCUCAAUGUUAAAUACCUUAGUGCUGGUUUCAGCAUAGGCGAAUUCUACAAAAGUAGAAGUAUCCUUAAGCUGUUCAUCUAAUGAUAUAGUGAUUGCUUACAAAAAUGGAAAAUUUAUGCUAGAAAAGAAACAUAUAAGCAAUUUCCUGGAGUUCACGGAUUCCACUAUUGGACUUCAAUAUUAGGAGCUAAUAAUAUUUUAGAAACAUAUGUAUUAAACAACAAACCAGAAAAGGUAUUGACAACGUAAGAGUAGUGAAACAGAUUUUUUUUUUCCUCUUUCUUUGGGGCUGCACAAAAGCUAUUCGACAUUUGAAGGAGAGAAGUAUCCAAAAGCCCAAAUAAGACUUACUGAUUUAAUCCCCAUGUAUUCAAGAAUUGGUUUUGCAGCAAAAAUAACGAAUAUAGAUUGUAUGAGGCCAAGUAUGGCACCAAUCGCCAUUGCUGAUGAAGCCGAUGAUAUAUGCCUUUUCUUAUUCUCGCCAUCACUAGUUUCUACACAGUUAAUGGUAAAUGGUGAUUUUCUUGUCAACUCCGAUUCAAAAUUCAGCAGAAUAUUAUCGUGAUUUAAAGUAAAAAAUAACUUACAGAGAAAAAUGUCUUCUGACCUAUAUAGUAAACAUUUAUUAACCACUUGCUUAUGAAAUUCAAGAGGAUAGAACUAGUGCAUACCAGUUUUCGGUAUCAACUCACUAUCUGCAGAAAACCCUUUUUCCAAUAAUUUUAUCUCCUCUGUUUCACCUUUCAAACUUCGCAUAGCAUCUUCUUCAGCAACAAAAGAAGUCGUGACACUAACAAGUGGGAAAAUUGCAAUUUUUGAUACUUGAUUAAUGACGGCAAUUGCAACUCCUACUGCAGCUAGCUCCACAGGACCUUUAGGAUAAAUGAGUAUGAAAAAAUAGACAGGAAUAGAGAAUAUACAGUUGUUUUCAUUUUAGUUAAGUAAAUAUCGAAUCUCAGAUAGAUUCUAUUUCCGACAGAUUACGUGUUAUUGAUGAAAUCUCAUAAAAUCAGUGACCAGGUAUUUAUAAGCGUAAGCAUAAUAUAACCAAACUAAUCAGAGGAGCAGUCAAUCCUUCCUAUCAUAGCAUAAUGUCUUUCUUUGCAAUACAAGUACACGAAGGUUUCAAAUAAAAAUUUCAUCAGGAAAGAUGAUAAAAAUCUAGAAUAGAAUUUCUCCACAUGAAUUAGAUCUCUUGAGACAAUGAAGAAGGGUCAAAUCAAUACGUUCUAAGAAGAAAUAUUUGAAUUCUAAAUGUUCAUUAGCCAUGAAACACUAGAUAUGAAAACAAGAAUCAGGAGACACAUACCUAUAUGGCCAAUAAAAGCAGUGUCAAUUAGAGAAGCAAUAGGGUCUGCAGUUAGAGCCAGUGCUGCAGGCAAGGCAAUCUGUGCCAUUUCUAGACCUAACUCAUCUUUCUUGAAAACUUCCCUACAAAGCAUUAGAAACAUGCAUCCACUGAAUUUAGAUAUUCUUUUUUUGGUUUUCCAUUGCUCUUGGACCAAUUCAGAAACAUAAACACAAGAAAUGACCUGUGAAUUACAAUGAGAAACAGAACAAAAACACGAGGAAUGUCAAAUCAUAAAUCGCAACAAUGAGAGUCAUUGGCUAUAUAAAGGUUCUGUAGCCCACAACUUGGAAAGAAAAACACAAGGAUUGUCCAACAGAACCGGAACAAUGAUCGAGAUUAAGUUUACAUACUCAUAAUGUGUUGCUUGUUAAUAUAAAUUAUUCUAUAAACAAAAGCAAAGUUUCUCUGAAAGGAAGUAAAAGCUUUCCAAGAAACAAUACCUUGGAUUCCUGAAUAAACCCCAUAAAGGAUUAUCACCCAUAUUGUUCCAAAAUGAAACGAGCACCCUAGUAAUCAUAUUCAGUUCCCCAAUUAGUAGUUAAUCUCGAAGUUCACAGUUGAAUCUAACUCAUAUACGAUUUAGGUAAAUGUACAGAAGGUGUUAAAAAAUAUAAUAAAAAGAAAAAGUUGCAGAAAAGAGAAAAAAAUCUUGAAGAAAAAUGAAGAUGAAUGAUCCCCAGAAAUG